UUUGAGUGUAACAAGCUGAAGUAAAUAAUUUUUCUUUCUGCACUUCUUUGUUUUUCGUCUCAUAUGUGUCGACAAUCUGGUUUUUUGUUGUUGAAAUACCAUAUAUAGAACAUAAUAAUAAUAAUCAAGGUUUACGGUUUACUUCAGGUUCCAACGAUGGCUUUCUUUGGUUGAAUUGGGAAUUUACUCAGAAAUGCUGCAAACAAGCAGAUCAGUUCAGAAUUGCUCCCAUCCCCAUCUAUUCUCCAGGAAAUACGGUGCAUGUCAUCUGCUCCAAACUCAAAACUGUUCAUUGGAGGUAUUUCAUAUUCUACUGAUGAGUAAGGUUUGAGGGAGGCAUUUCAAGAUAUGGAGAAGUUGUUGAUGGUACAUACAAUUACUCAUUUUUUCCUAUGCAGACUCGAUCCAUGGCAGGGAAACCCUUUUGUUUGAGGAGACUCAGAAAAAGCAGCAUUGUUCUUAUUCUGAAGAGUUUGCAACCCCCGAGAGAGCUUGAAUGAACAAGACUCGGAAUUUAGGAAGAAAUGCUGAUUCUGGUUCAAACUUGAGGCCUCAGAAUUUAUAGGAAGCAGCAUUGUUCCAAAAAUAUGAUGAAGAGAUGUCCCUCUUAGACAGAAUUAGUGCACAGAAACUUGAGGAAACAGAGUAUUUAAGAUCCAUGGAAGCCUCUCCAAGAUCAAUUUCAGAGCGUAUUUGCAUCAAGUGUGAAGAAGAAAGCAUGUGAUAUAGGUCACAAUAACCCAUAUGGUGAACUAGAGGCCGCUUACGUUGCUGGAAUUAUUGGGUGAUUGUGUUGUGGAUGUUGGAGCUAUGUUGCAAUAGCUACUAUUAUUAUUCUCCAUCUGGUUGAAGCUACUGCAGGUUCCAUCACUGACUACUGGAGAGGAUGCUACUAAUGUUGGCAACAAUUGAUGAAGAGUGAGGGUCUCUUGGCCGGAAUUAGUCUAUCACAUUAUAAUAAAGCUUCCAGUUUAGUGUUUCAAUAAACACUCUCACAUUCUUUUGUUAUUAUAUUUUUUGCAAACUUAGAUGAUAUUGUGGAUCUUAUAACAAUUUUUAUAAAUUUGAUGGGAAAUGUUCAAUUUUUU
Arachis duranensis is the source of this 1088-nucleotide long non-coding RNA. RefSeq lists it as uncharacterized. NCBI's taxonomy places the organism in Eukaryota, Viridiplantae, Streptophyta, Magnoliopsida, Fabales, Fabaceae. The record is from RefSeq and is a predicted model, not a curated record. The transcript has 3 exons.